GCCUCUGAUGAUUUAUUGCCGAACAAGCUGACAGAGCACAGGAGCAUGUUAUCUGGGCCCCCGUAGUGCAGGGGCUAAUUCCGAAAAUGAGGGAAGACCGAAAGUGCAGCAGUCGGAGCAAAUGCUCUCUAGCAUUCAGCAAGGAAACAGAUGGAAGCUGGAACACAGCUUACUCAUAGCUUUUAAAUGUGAUGGGUCAGCACUAAACAAAGCUCUUACUGUGCACAAGAGAAUGUAUACGACCACUGCAGCAACAAGACAACGCAUGCAUAAGGUAAUUAAUUGCUCUCAAGAUGUGGUGGCCCUAUAUUUUCGAUGUUUGGGUUACAGGACAGCUGUUAAUUGGUGUGUGAAUAUUCUGAGUAAAGCGGAUCUAAAUAGAUUAUCAG
RNAcentral lists this long non-coding RNA (389 nucleotides) under Equus caballus (horse). RNAcentral describes it as "lncRNA (ENSECAG00000035432.3)". Lineage: Eukaryota; Metazoa; Chordata; Mammalia; Perissodactyla; Equidae. The record is from RNAcentral.